UUUUGGUAGGGGACCCAGUG
This 20-nucleotide non-coding RNA is filed under the name Rattus norvegicus (Norway rat). Lineage: Eukaryota; Metazoa; Chordata; Mammalia; Rodentia; Muridae. The record is from RNAcentral.